Molecule: ribosomal RNA, 442 nt
Filed under: uncultured bacterium
Lineage: Bacteria
Description: partial 16S ribosomal RNA
Rfam family: Bacterial small subunit ribosomal RNA
Source: RNAcentral
CCUACGGGAGGCAGCAGUGGGGAAUAUUGGGCAAUGGGCGCAAGCCUGACCCAGCAACGCCGCGUGAAGGAAGAAGGCUCUCGGGUUGUAAACUUCUUUUUACAGGGAAGAGUAGAAGACGGUACCUGUCGAAUAAGCCACGGCUAACUACGUGCCAGCAGCCGCGGUAAUACGUAGGUGGCAAGCGUUGUCCGGAUUUAGUGGGUGUAAAGGGCGUGUAGAUGGGUUGUCAAGUCAGUUGUGAAAUCUUGCGGCUUAACCGCAGAACUGCAAUUGAAACUGUUGGUCUUGAGUACUGGAGAGGCAGACGGAAUUCGUGGUGUAGCGGUGAAAUGCGUAGAUAUUAGGAGGAACACCGGUGGCGAAGGCGGUCUGCUAAACAGCCACUGACAGUGAGGCGCGAAAGUGUGGGGAGCAAACAGGAUUAGAUACCCCAGUAGUC